GACGAACGCUGGCGGCGUGCUUAACACAUGCAAGUCGAACGGAAAGGCUCCAGCUUGCUGGCGUACUCGAGUGGCGAACGGGUGAGUAACACGUGGGUAAUCUGCCCUGCACUCUGGGAUAAGCCUGGGAAACUGGGUCUAAUACUGGAUAUGACCUUUCUCCUUAUGGGGUUUGGUGGAAAGUUUUUCGGUGUAGGAUGAGCCCGCGGCCUAUCAGCUUGUUGGUGGGGUGAUGGCCUACCAAGGCGACGACGGGUAGCCGGCCUGAGGGGGUGAUCGGCCACAUUGGGACUGAGAUACGGCCCAGACUCCUACGGGAGGCAGCAGUGGGGAAUAUUGCACAAUGGGCGGAAGCCUGAUGCAGCGACGCCGCGUGAGGGAUGACGGCCUUCGGGUUGUAAACCUCUUUCAGCAGGGACGAAGCGUAAGUGACGGUACCUGCAGAAGAAGCACCGGCUAACUAUGU
This 466-nucleotide ribosomal RNA is filed under the name uncultured bacterium. RNAcentral describes it as "partial 16S ribosomal RNA". It matches the Rfam family "Bacterial small subunit ribosomal RNA", at positions 28 to 506 of the family's 1533-position model. The record is from RNAcentral.